AUUGUUUUCGUUCAGUUACUUUUUAACUCAACUGUGAGAGUGUGGUAUGUCUGCCCUGAUUUCUGUGUAGUUUCAGUGUGCAUAUAUUCACUUACUACCAACCUUUUACAUCUUUUGAUAUCCAAAAAGGUCUCCUAUUCAUCUCAAACUUGUUACUUUGCAACAGCGAUGGCAGAUUGUGUGCUUGUGUAUCUACUUUUUGUGUGUGGAGUCUUUCAAACAGGUGCAGCAGCAAUGAUCCAAACACAGCAGACUGUGCUGGCAGCAGUGGGAGAAGAUGCUGAAUUCAGCUGUCAGCUCUUGGAGACUAAAGACGUCCUUCAGGUCACAUGGCAGAAAAUUUCAGCUGCUGGAGAGACAAAUGUUGCCACUUACAACAAGUACUUUGGUCAGAGAGUGAAUGACAGCUUUACAGAUAAAGUUAAGUUUAAACAUACUGGACUACAGAACUGCUCCCUAGUCAUCAGGAAUGUGACAGAGCAGGAUGAAAGAUGCUAUCGCUGUUUGUUUAACACUUAUCCUGAAGGAGCCUUCACAGGUAGAACCUGCCUCCAAGUCUAUGAGCUGCAUGAACCUGUUGUUGAUGUCAGAGAGUCAAACUCUACUGAAGAGUGGGUUGUUUCCUGUUCAGCCACUGGUCGACCUGCUCCCACUGUAACACUCAGCGUCUCACAACAACACCUCAACUUCUCACAGUACAACACUGUCAGUGUGUCCAACACCAACGCUACAUUCACUGUCACCACUACAGCUGUGCUCUCAGGUUCAUGUAAACACAGCACACAGGUGGGAUGUGCAGCACGAGUGCUCUCUGCUCCUCACAGAGAGGUGAUGGUGAUGAUUCCUGAGGUCCAGCAGGUGUAUGCUGCUGCUACUGCUGAUUAUAAUGUUUCCUUCUGGAUCAUUGCAUCAGGUGUAGCAGUGGGACUGAUAGUCUUUGCCUGUGUAGCCACUUUCAUAGCUGUCCUGCUUAAAAAAAACCCAAAAAACAACAAGAGGGACCCUGAGAACAACAAAUAAAAUACCACAAAAAUCAGCCAAUGACAUUAACGACUGAUGACCCCUCCACAUCUUUACUUCUCUAAAACUCAGCUUCCAUCUAAGGGUCUUUAUAUACGUUUUAUACAGCUCAAUGUAAAAUGUUUAUCUUGUUUUAAGCACUUUAAGAAACAAUACAAAUCGUUUGUUGCCGCUGUCCAAAAUGUUCUGCAAUGUGUUGCUGAAAUGAAAUGCAUUUUUUAUAGCAAUAAAAUAUCUAAAAUUUAAUAUUUUAUAUCUUGCCGUUAUACCAUGUGAGUUACAUGCACACUUUAAAUGCAUGGCAUUUUUUACUGUUAAACUGAAUACAGUUGAACAGCAGUUAAAUACAGUGUAACAAGGAUCACCUAAAACCAUCAGCUGUAACUCAGACGUAGACAUAAAUACAUGCCUCAGAGUAACACAAAGUUGCUAUGUAUACACUUCUGUAACUUCUGGUAAACUUAUUUUAAAAAAUGUACCUGACAUAUAUCCUAUAUCCCAUCCUCUGCUCUGUCUAAAGCUGUAGAAACAUUAAAAUAAUUUGGCAGAAGACUGAUGAUGGUGAAAAUUAUGGUAAAAUGAUUUUUACUUCACUAAUAUUCUACUUUGUAUUCAUGGUGCUUAAAUAAUUCAGUAAAAAAAAGGAGUUUGUGGUUGACUCAGUGACUAUGAGCUGCCAAGGGCCCUGUACUGUGAAGCUAGUUAAGAAGAGAAGUGAUCAUCAGUAAGGAAUAUGACUUUAUUCUGAGAAAGAGGAAUACAGAUGUGACGUUUGCUUUGAGAGUGUUGAUAGAGAAGAAUAUAGAAGGUCAGAAUGAGUUUCACUGAGUAUUUUUGGAUCUAGAGGAUCUAGAGAAGUAUGUGAGGAUGGGCCAGGUCAUGAGACAUAAGGAUGUGAGACAGUGCUGAGGCGUAGGUUUUACUGACAGGUAGGUUCAGGAGAUGAGAUUACAUCAGUGAUCAGCUCUGAGCCCCUUCUUGUUUCCAAUGGUGAUGUGGGUGACUGAUGAGAUGAGGCAGGAGUCUAUGUGAACUAUGAUGUUUGCAGAUGACACUGUGAUCUGUGGUGACAGUAGGGAGCAGAUGCAGAGCCUGGAGCGGUGGAGGCAUGCAUUGUAGAGAAGAGGAAUAAAAGACAGUAGAAGCAAGAUAAAUACAUGUGUGUGAAUGAGAGAGAGAGACAGGUGGAAAGGUGAACAUGCGAGGAGUACAGACCUGGGGUCAGCCAUCAGGAGGACUUGCAGUGUUGGUGUGACAGAGGAGCAUGCUGGGAAUAGACGGAGCUGGAGGGAGAUGAUCUGCUAUGUUGACCUUGAACAGGAGGAACUGUUUUAUGCAUGACUGUAAUGAAAAUAUUUUUCAUGUUGUUAUCUUUUAUAUUUUAAAUAAAGGAUUUGUACUUA
Long non-coding RNA from Oreochromis niloticus (Nile tilapia), 2423 nucleotides. RefSeq annotates it as OX-2 membrane glycoprotein. The record is from RefSeq and is a predicted model, not a curated record. The transcript has 6 exons. Lineage: Eukaryota; Metazoa; Chordata; Actinopteri; Cichliformes; Cichlidae.